Molecule: unclassified non-coding RNA, 264 nt
Filed under: uncultured fungus
Lineage: Eukaryota; Fungi
Description: partial contains 5.8S ribosomal RNA, internal transcribed spacer 2, and large subunit ribosomal RNA
Source: RNAcentral
AACGCACAUUGCGCCCUCUGGUAUUCCGGGGGGCAUGCCUGUCCGAGCGUCAUUGCAACCCUCAAGCACGGCUUGCGUGUUGGGCGACCGUCCCGUCUUCGGAGGGACGCGCCCGAAAAGCAGUGACGGCGUCGUGAUCCGGUGCCCGAGCGUAUGGGGCUUCGUCUUCCGCUCUUGUGGCCCGGCCGACUGUCCGGUCGAACCAGCUAUAAUUCACUUCUAGUGUUUGACCUCGGAUCAGGUAGGGUUACCCGCUGAACUUAA